This 322-nucleotide ribosomal RNA is filed under the name uncultured Chloroflexota bacterium. Its description in RNAcentral is "bacterial SSU rRNA". It matches the Rfam family "Bacterial small subunit ribosomal RNA", at positions 28 to 351 of the family's 1533-position model. The record is from RNAcentral. Lineage: Bacteria; Bacillati; Chloroflexota.
GAUGAACGCUGGCGGCGUGCCUAACACAUGCAAGUCGAACGUGAAGGGGGAGUAAUCUCCUGGAAAGUGGCGAACGGGUGAGUAACACGUAGGUAACCUGCCGCGCAGAGGGGGAUAACCAGUGGAAACGCUGGCUAAGACCGCAUGGUCCUCAGGGGACGGGAGUCUCGUGGGGUAAAGCCUUGGCGCUGCGCGAGGGGCCUGCGUCCGAUUAGCUGGUUGGUGAGGUAACGGCUCACCAAGGCGAUGAUCGGUAGCUGGUCUGAGAGGAUGAUCAGCCACACGGGAACUGAGACACGGUCCCGACUCCUACGGGAGGCAG